This 740-nucleotide ribosomal RNA is filed under the name Quasipaa spinosa (Chinese spiny frog). Its description in RNAcentral is "partial small subunit ribosomal RNA". It matches the Rfam family "Bacterial small subunit ribosomal RNA", at positions 31 to 1330 of the family's 1533-position model. The record is from RNAcentral. Lineage: Eukaryota; Metazoa; Chordata; Amphibia; Anura; Dicroglossidae.
AUCAGUUUUUUCUUGAAUUACACAUGCAAGUCUCAGCACACCCGUGAGGACACCCUUAAACCCUUAACCAGACUAAGGAGCCGGCAUCAGGCGCAACAUCUGCCCACAACGCCUAGUCCCACCACGCCCCCAAGGGCAUUCAGCAGUGAUAAAUAUUGCUAAUAAGCGACAGCUUGACCCAGUUAAAGAAGAUAGAGCCGGCCAACUCGGUGCCAGCCGCCGCGGCUAAACCGCACGGGCUCAAACUGAUAGUUAUCGGCGUUAAGCGUGAUUAAAGUCCCCCUGCAAUUAGAGUAGAACCUAUACUUAGCUGUGAAAAGCUUGAACUAGGGAAAAUCAUAAACGAAAGUUACUCUAAUAAAUCACUUGAAUACACGACAGCUAGGAAACAAACUGGGAUCAGAUACCCCACUAUGCCUAUCCGUAAAAUAUUAAUUCACACCCACCAACGCCAGGGUAUUACAAGCCUUAGCUUAAAACCCAAAGGACUUGACGGUGUCCCAUCCACCUAGAGGAGCCUGUUCCAUAAUCGAUAAUCCCCGCUAUACCUAACCACCCCUUGCCAAUCAGUCUGUAUACCUCCGUCGUAAGCUUACCAUAUGAAUGCCUACAGUAAGUUUAAUGGCCACAAGCACCAAUACGUCAGGUCAAGGUGCAGCUUAUGAGAUGGUGAACAAUGGGCUACAGUUUCUAUACUAGAACAAACGAAACGCUGCAUGAAACACAGCCACGAAGGCGGA